GACGAACGCUGGCGGCGUGCCUAAUACAUGCAAGUAGAACGCUGAAGAGAGGAGCUUGCUCUUCUUGGAUGAGUUGCGAACGGGUGAGUAACGCGUAGGUAACCUGCCUUGUAGCGGGGGAUAACUAUUGGAAACGAUAGCUAAUACCGCAUAACAAUGGAUGACACAUGUCAUUUAUUUGAAAGGGGCAAUUGCUCCACUACAAGAUGGACCUGCGUUGUAUUAGCUAGUAGGUGAGGUAAUGGCUCACCUAGGCGACGAUACAUAGCCGACCUGAGAGGGUGAUCGGCCACACUGGGACUGAGACACGGCCCAGACUCUUACGGGAGGCAGCAGUAGGGAAUCUUCGGCAAUGGGGGCAACCCUGACCGAGCAACGCCGCGUGAGUGAAGAAGGUUUUCGGAUCGUAAAGCUCUGUUGUAAGUCAAGAACGGGUGUGAGAGUGGAAAGUUCACACUGUGACGGUAGCUUACCAGAAAGGGACGGCUAACUACGUGCCAGCAGCCGCGGUAAUACGUAGGUCCCGAGCGUUGUCCGGAUUUAUUGGGCGUAAAGCGAGCGCAGGCGGUUUGAUAAGUCUGAAGUUAAAGGCUGUGGCUCAACCAUAGUUCGCUUUGGAAACUGUCAAACUUGAGUGCAGAAGGGGAGAGUGGAAUUCCAUGUGUAGCGGUGAAAUGCGUAGAUAUAUGGAGGAACACCGGUGGCGAAAGCGGCUCUCUGGUCUGUAACUGACGCUGAGGCUCGAAAGCGUGGGGAGCGAACAGGAUUAGAUACCUUGGUAGUCCACGCCGUAAACGAUGAGUGCUAGGUGUUGGAUCCUUUCCGGGAUUCAGUGCCGCAGCUAACGCAUUAAGCACUCCGCCUGGGGAGUACGACCGCAAGGUUGAAACUCAAAGGAAUUGACGGGGGCCCGCACAAGCGGUGGAGCAUGUGGUUUAAUUCGAAGCAACGCGAAGAACCUUACCAGGUCUUGACAUCCCGAUGCUAUUUCUAGAGAUAGAAAGUUACUUCGGUACAUCGGUGACAGGUGGUGCAUGGUUGUCGUCAGCUCGUGUCGUGAGAUGUUGGGUUAAGUCCCGCAACGAGCGCAACCCCUAUUGUUAGUUGCCAUCAUUCAGUUGGGCACUCUAGCGAGACUGCCGGUAAUAAACCGGAGGAAGGUGGGGAUGACGUCAAAUCAUCAUGCCCCUUAUGACCUGGGCUACACACGUGCUACAAUGGUUGGUACAACGAGUUGCGAGUCGGUGACGGCGAGCUAAUCUCUUAAAGCCAAUCUCAGUUCGGAUUGUAGGCUGCAACUCGCCUACAUGAAGUCGGAAUCGCUAGUAAUCGCGGAUCAGCACGCCGCGGUGAAUACGUUCCCGGGCCU
This 1369-nucleotide ribosomal RNA is filed under the name uncultured bacterium. RNAcentral's name for it is "bacterial SSU rRNA". It matches the Rfam family "Bacterial small subunit ribosomal RNA", at positions 28 to 1381 of the family's 1533-position model. The record is from RNAcentral.